AGUGAGCGCUGGCGGUAGGCCUAACACAUGCAAGUCGAACGGCAGCACAGGAGAGCUUGCUCCCUGGGUGGCGAGUGGCGGACGGGUGAGGAAUACAUCGGAAUCUACUCUGUCGUGGGGGAUAACGUAGGGAAACUUACGCUAAUACCGCAUACGACCUACGGGUGAAAGCAGGGGACCUUCGGGCCUUGCGCGAUGGAAUGAGCCGAUGUCGGAUUAGCUAGUUGGCGGGGUAAAGGCCCACCGAGGCGACGAUCCGUAGCUGGUCUGAGAGGAUGAUCAGCCACACUGGAACUGAGACACGGUCCAGACUCCUACGGGAGGCAGCAGUGGGGAAUAUUGGACAAUGGGCGCAAGCCUGAUCCAGCCAUACCGCGUGGGUGAAGAAGGCCUUCGGGUUGUAAAGCCCUUUUGUUGGGAAAGAAAUCCAGCUGGCUAAUACCCGGUUGGGAUGACGGUACCCAAAGAAUAAGCACCGGCUAACUUCGUGCCAGCCGCCGCAGUAA
RNAcentral lists this ribosomal RNA (506 nucleotides) under uncultured bacterium. RNAcentral describes it as "partial 16S ribosomal RNA". It matches the Rfam family "Bacterial small subunit ribosomal RNA", at positions 29 to 523 of the family's 1533-position model. The record is from RNAcentral.